Molecule: long non-coding RNA, 202 nt
Filed under: Elaeis guineensis (African oil palm)
Lineage: Eukaryota; Viridiplantae; Streptophyta; Magnoliopsida; Arecales; Arecaceae
Description: long non-coding RNA (EGUI_LNC034238)
Source: RNAcentral
CUCAGAUUUGUCCUCGAUUCUUAAUGGAAGGAAGAGGAAAACACUCUUCCCUUUAAACAAGGUUGGAGAGGAGGAGUUUGACUCCUCCUUGAUGGCAGUUUCUGACUCCGAUCGAAAGUCAUUCAGGAAGAAGAAGACUUCAUUAAGGAGUCUUCUCUCAAAUUUUUUUUUUGAUGCUGCUUUGAGUUUGGUGCAAUUGAGG